This 1954-nucleotide long non-coding RNA is filed under the name Nicotiana benthamiana. RNAcentral's name for it is "long non-coding RNA (NBEN_LNC009972)". The record is from RNAcentral. Lineage: Eukaryota; Viridiplantae; Streptophyta; Magnoliopsida; Solanales; Solanaceae.
AAGUCUCUUUAAUUAUUUUUCGUGAGAUUCAAGUACUAAUUAAUGAUGAUUAUAAUUUUAUCUCGUAAAAAAUAUUAUACACGGAUGAACCGUAAAAUUCUCCAAAUCUCCACCAAAAAUUGACAAACCCAAACUCUAGUGCUACCGCCUCUGCCCCGCUGCACGCCGCCGCCCAAAACCUCUCAAAAUUUCACUAGUUCCUCCUUUCCUCCUACUCUUUCUCAUUCCAUACCCCAAAAUCCUCAAAAUUCUCUCCCUCACCUCAUGCUAUUACCGCUGCCGUCGCCCCUAAAACACCCAACCAACCUCUUGUAACUGAUUUCUAGCAUAAACAUGACCUCACAACACCCUUUUCUCUUUGGUGAGAUUUGGAAUCAACUGUUAUGCCGAAGCUCAUUUUUUCCAGCACAUGCCAUUGAGAAAAUAGUGCUUGGGGGUCGACUUGCUGUGUUUUGCAUCGUAUUUGAGAGAUGAGGGCAAUCUAAUUCAGUUAUUAUGGUAAUCCUAGUUCCCCUUUUAUUUCUUUGAUUUUUGCUUCUCUAAUUGGGUUUAGGUUCAGUCGUCGAUAAUUAAUUGCUCGUUUUGAUCCUUGGAGAUUCGAUUAGAUCAAGUUCAUCUUUUGCGUAGUUACUAAAUUUUUCAAUUUGAUUCAGCCAUGAAAGUUUCGUGAUCGCAAGAUGAAUCAAUUGUUUCCAUACGAUUACGUUCUGAUUUGCGGUUAUUAAUAGUUGUUUAUUUAGUUGUUGUUAGUCGUUGUCGGAUAGUUAACAAUGCUCGUUUAAUUUCUGUUACGCGCUUUAGUUGGUGAAUUCAGUGGUUUUCUAUGUUAGUUUGUACAAAUCAAAUUAAUUGCAAUUCAGUUUGUUUGAAUACUUGGUUCAGUUACCUUUUAAGUCUUGUUUCUGUUGUAUUAAUCCAUAAUUUGGUUAGUUUGAAUGUGGAGUGUGUUAGCUUAAAUUUCAAUCAUGAUAAAAGCUAAAUAUUUGAGUGUAGGGUACUCGUUUGGUUGCUUUUUACUGUUUAAAGGGCUGUUUGGAGUACACUGCUCCUAGCACUGUUCAAAGUUGGUGAAAAUUUGUCUUGUAGACAGAUUUUUGACCAAAAAUCUGUCCUUUGAACAGUUGGGACAGAUUUUAGGUGGAAAAUCCAUCCUUUGGACAGAUUCAAUGAAAUAAUUCAAUCCUUCUCCUUUCCUAUAAAGGAAUAUGUCUUUCCUCAUUUAAGAGGAGGGCUAAAAAAAUACACAAAAGUUGAGAGGAAAAUCAGCAGCUAAAUAUAUGUAAUACUAAGAUGAAAUUAUGAGUUCGAAAAAGUUUUCUUAGAUUGAAAACUCUUUCAAAAGAUAAAAUCUUUUAGAACUUGUUCUAGGCUUCUACUCUAAGAUUUUAGGGCUACUCAAACGUCCAUCCCACUGCUGACUUGCUGCUGAUUUGCUAUUGUUUUUUGCUGUCUUUACUGUUAUUUCUGCUACUAUUCUUGCUCAUUCUAGUGCUGUAUUUAUUUUACGUAACCCAGGUAAACCUUGAACUUUGUAAUGCAGAUUUUUAUACUAAACGGUUGAAGAUAUAGAUUUGUCUUGGCUCAUUGAAUCUGUUUGAUAUACCUUAUUGAAUGGAAACGUUGUAUUGAAGCAUUGUUCAGUUGUAUAUAGAAUAUAGUUAAAUCUCUAAAGUUUCCUUUACAUUUAUUGUUUAAAAUCAUAUUAUGCUAAGUCUACUUAUUUGAUGAAAAGAUUAAAAACCUCAUAUUUGAGCAUGUCUCUUAAGUUUGGGAUCUUUUAUGUGAGUUACUUUUAAGGUUCAUGAAAAUUAUAUAGGAAAGACUUCUAGCUUCAAAUAUUUUGAUGCUUUAAAUUAUAGUCAACAUAAUGUUGUAAUAUAUUUCUUCUCUUUAGCAUUUAAGUAUUACCCCAUUUUUGUGGCUCGUUUUUAAAUGUAGUUGUAGUUGUAAUUAU